This 21-nucleotide non-coding RNA is filed under the name Arabidopsis thaliana (thale cress). The record is from RNAcentral. Lineage: Eukaryota; Viridiplantae; Streptophyta; Magnoliopsida; Brassicales; Brassicaceae.
UUGUGGUGUUCUUGUUAUAUG